RNAcentral lists this ribosomal RNA (472 nucleotides) under uncultured bacterium. RNAcentral describes it as "bacterial SSU rRNA". It matches the Rfam family "Bacterial small subunit ribosomal RNA", at positions 328 to 793 of the family's 1533-position model. The record is from RNAcentral.
GCAGAGCACUCCUACGGGAGGCAGCAGUGGGGAAUAUUGCACAAUGGGGGAAACCCUGAUGCAGCCAUGCCGCGUGUGUGAAGAAGGCCUUCGGGUUGUAAAGCACUUUCAGUAGGGAGGAAGGUAGUGUAGUUAACACCUGCAUUAUUUGACGUUACCUACAGAAGAAGCACCGGCUAACUCCGUGCCAGCAGCCGCGGUAAUACGGAGGGUGCGAGCGUUAAUCGGAAUUACUGGGCGUAAAGCGCAUGCAGGCGGCCUGUUAAGUCAGAUGUGAAAGCCCGGGGCUUAACCUCGGAAUUGCAUUUGAAACUGGCAGGCUAGAGUCUUGUAGAGGGGGUAGAAUUUCAGGUGUAGCGGUGAAAUGCGUAGAGAUCUGAAGGAAUACCAGUGGCGAAGGCGGCCCCCUGGACAAAGACUGACGCUCAGAUGCGAAAGCGUGGGGAGCAAACAGGAUUAGAUACCCUGGUAG